RNAcentral lists this transfer RNA (76 nucleotides) under Thermoanaerobaculum aquaticum. RNAcentral's name for it is "tRNA-Val". It matches the Rfam family "tRNA". Rfam says of the family: Transfer RNA (tRNA) molecules are approximately 80 nucleotides in length. Their secondary structure includes four short double-helical elements and three loops (D, anti-codon, and T loops). RNAcentral also lists the same sequence under 12 other names. Lineage: Bacteria; Pseudomonadati; Acidobacteriota; Thermoanaerobaculia; Thermoanaerobaculales; Thermoanaerobaculaceae. The record is from RNAcentral.
AGGCGCGUAGCUCAGUUGGUAGAGCGCAUCCCUCACACGGAUGAGGUCUGCGGUUCGAGCCCGCACGCGCCUACCA